Molecule: ribosomal RNA, 496 nt
Filed under: uncultured bacterium
Lineage: Bacteria
Description: partial 16S ribosomal RNA
Rfam family: Bacterial small subunit ribosomal RNA
Source: RNAcentral
AUUGAACGCUGGCGGCAUGCCUUACACAUGCAAGUCGAACGGCAGCGGGGCAACCUGGCGACGAGUGGCGAACGGGUGAGUAAUGUAUCGGAACGUGCCCAAUAGUGGGGGAUAGCCCGGCGAAAGCCGGAUUAAUACCGCAUGAGACCUGAGGGUGAAAGCGGGGGAUCGCAAGACCUCGCGCUGUUGGAGCGGCCGAUAUCAGAUUAGGUAGUUGGUGGGGUAAAGGCCUACCAAGCCUGCGAUCUGUAGCUGGUCUGAGAGGAUGACCAGCCACACUGGGACUGAGACACGGCCCAGACUCCUACGGGAGGCAGCAGUGGGGAAUUUUGGACAAUGGGCGCAAGCCUGAUCCAGCCAUGCCGCGUGCGGGAAGAAGGCCUUCGGGUUGUAAACCGCUUUUGUCAGGGAAGAAAUCUUCUGGGUUAAUACCUCGGGAGGAUGACGGUACCUGAAGAAUAAGCACCGGCUAACUACGUGCCAGCAGCCGCGGUAA